GGGCGCGAACAGGUUUCGACAUGUAUCUGGAGUAACAGCUCAAGCAUAACGAACGACUGGCGUAACUGGUCAAAAUUAAAUUUAACUGCAGAUAGUAGAUCUGAACUAGCACUCGCUGCGUAAGUCGCACAGUGCAUGUCCACUUUAGUUUCGCUAUUGACUAAUUUUGGGCAUCAAUCAAAUAGCGGAGCAAGUAUUGUGAGCAUUUGAGCAUGCUUGUGACUACAAUCAGAUGCGGAUUGUUUGGUUUUUUGUUUAUUGGUUUCAAACAUAUCCUUCUUCAAAAAAUAAACUAAUUAUGUAGAAAGGUUGUUGCAGGAUGCAUGGACGCGGGUUCAAUUCCCGCCGUGUCCACCA
Molecule: transfer-messenger RNA, 357 nt
Filed under: human gut metagenome
Rfam family: transfer-messenger RNA
About the family: Bacterial tmRNA, also known as 10Sa RNA or SsrA, is named for its dual tRNA and mRNA-like properties. Its role is to liberate the mRNA from a stalled ribosome.
Source: RNAcentral